GGGGAAUAUUGCACAAUGGGGGAAACCCUGAUGCAGCCAUGCCGCGUGUAUGAAGAAGGCCUUCGGGUUGUAAAGUACUUUCAGUUGUGAGGAAGGCGUUGAAGUUAAUAGCUUCAGCGUUUGACGUUAGCAACAGAAGAAGCACCGGCUAACUCCGUGCCAGCAGCCGCGGUAAUACGGAGGGUGCGAGCGUUAAUCGGAAUUACUGGGCGUAAAGCGCAUGCAGGUGGUUUGUUAAGCAAGAUGUGAAAGCCCGGGGCUCAACCUCGGAACAGCAUUUUGAACUGGCAGACUAGAGUACUGUAGAGGGGGGUAGAAUUUCAGGUGUAGCGGUGAAAUGCGUAGAGAUCUGAAGGAAUACCGGUGGCGAAGGCGGCCCCCUGGACAGAUACUGACACUCAGAUGCGAAAGCGUGGGGAGCAAACAGG
RNAcentral lists this ribosomal RNA (428 nucleotides) under uncultured bacterium. Its description in RNAcentral is "bacterial SSU rRNA". It matches the Rfam family "Bacterial small subunit ribosomal RNA", at positions 356 to 776 of the family's 1533-position model. The record is from RNAcentral.